This 361-nucleotide unclassified non-coding RNA is filed under the name fungal sp. RNAcentral's name for it is "partial internal transcribed spacer region". The stretch from base 1 to 46 matches the Rfam family "Eukaryotic small subunit ribosomal RNA", at positions 1786 to 1831 of the family's 1831-position model. Lineage: Eukaryota; Fungi. The record is from RNAcentral.
AAGUCGUAACAAGGUUUCCGUAGGUGAACCUGCGGAAGGAUCAUUACAGAUUGUUUUCAAAAACAAAAUUGGGCUAAGCUGUUGCUGGUUUUUUCGAAAGAGAAAGCAUGUGCACGCUUUGGCUUCAGUUUUUGACCACCUGUGCACCCUUGUGUGGAUUUUUGAAUAUUCAGGAAGAAAAAAAAAUUCCUGGUCAGAGAAAAUGUCUCAGAAACAUACAGUAUGGGACUUUUCUUGUAUUUCAGAUCUACAUCAUUUUUUUUUUUUUUUUCUACAUACACUUUGUAUUACAUAUUGGAACGAUUAAAUGAUUCAAUUUUCAUUUUGAAAACAACUUUCAACAACGGAUCUCUUGGCUCUC